Molecule: ribosomal RNA, 465 nt
Filed under: Vreelandella stevensii
Lineage: Bacteria; Pseudomonadati; Pseudomonadota; Gammaproteobacteria; Oceanospirillales; Halomonadaceae
Description: partial 16S ribosomal RNA
Rfam family: Bacterial small subunit ribosomal RNA
Source: RNAcentral
CCUACGGGAGGCAGCAGUGGGGAAUAUUGGACAAUGGGGGGAACCCUGAUCCAGCCAUGCCGCGUGUGUGAAGAAGGCCCUCGGGUUGUAAAGCACUUUCAGUGAGGAAGAACGCCUGGUGGUUAAUACCCAUCAGGAAAGACAUCACUCACAGAAGAAGCACCGGCUAACUCCGUGCCAGCAGCCGCGGUAAUACGGAGGGUGCGAGCGUUAAUCGGAAUUACUGGGCGUAAAGCGCGCGUAGGUGGCUUGAUAAGCCGGUUGUGAAAGCCCCGGGCUCAACCUGGGAACGGCAUCCGGAACUGUCAAGCUAGAGUGCAGGAGAGGAAGGUAGAAUUCCCGGUGUAGCGGUGAAAUGCGUAGAGAUCGGGAGGAAUACCAGUGGCGAAGGCGGCCUUCUGGACUGACACUGACACUGAGGUGCGAAAGCGUGGGUAGCGAACAGGAUUAGAUACCCUAGUAGUC